AGUGGGGGGCCUAUAUAAUGUUGUGGGUGAUCAGUGUAUAGAAAAAGGAGAGCAUGUGGUCUGCAUGACUUAAGAGAUCAUCAUUCAGAACUAUCACAUGGUUCUUCAUACCGAAUUCUGAGCAGAGAAUGAUGCGAUUGAACCUAAGAUCAUCCAGUGUUCAUAUGAGUUAGCUAACAAAACGCAGAGAAGAAUGACAAAGUCAAUCCUUUGAUGUAAUGACUGCAUAGCCUUGCUACAGAGGGAAGGCAUUUCUUAAAACUGAAACAAAAGAUUUUUUCAUCAAAUGGAGUCUGGAAAGAUUUAUUUACUUUUUUUAUCUAGCCAUACUCCAGGAUAUUGAAAUUCCUGCAGAGAAGGAUGUCAUCAAACUCUCCUUGAAAACAAAUCUCACCAGGAUAUUUCUUGUUUGUAUUUAUUUAAAAACAUCAAGCAUGCAUCAAAAGCCGCUGUUCACUGUUUGGUUUUUUCGUUACUAAUAUAUGUCUGUGAAUGUGUAGCUGUGCAUGUUCUAGGAUGCAUGUUGGAUGUUGAAUGUUGCAUGUUUUUAUGUCUUGUAGCCCACAAACGGUUCAGACGCAGCAUUCGUUCUCGCAGAAAGUCUCCUAACCCUCCUGGUUCUCCAGGUGACUACUCACGUGCAUGUUGUAAAUGUAUGUAUGUGUGUAUUAGAAAACAGUAGAAUAGACUUUUUUUUUCUUCUUUUUUUUUUAAUUUAAUUAGAGUUAGGAUUAUGUUAAUGAGCACAUUCGCUUUCAGCUUUUCCAACUGGAUUCGGACGGUCGCUUUUUCCACCUCCUGGCAUGGAUUCAGCAAAAACCCAGAAUCCUUCAAUGCCUCAGUUUAUCAACUGCAACGUCUCUGGAAUAUUUUCCACAUCAGGUGAUUACUUUUGGAUACCUAUAAAAGUGGAAGUCAACAAGGACAUGUCGUCCACACAAGGUGGC
This is a long non-coding RNA of Mugil cephalus (flathead mullet), 947 nucleotides long. RefSeq lists it as uncharacterized. The record is from RefSeq and is a predicted model, not a curated record. NCBI's taxonomy places the organism in Eukaryota, Metazoa, Chordata, Actinopteri, Mugiliformes, Mugilidae. The transcript is spliced from 3 exons.